Molecule: small nucleolar RNA, 101 nt
Organism: Psammomys obesus (fat sand rat)
Lineage: Eukaryota; Metazoa; Chordata; Mammalia; Rodentia; Muridae
Product: small nucleolar RNA U13
Exons: 1
Source: RefSeq, a predicted model, not a curated record
UUCUUCCUGGUUCAUAAGUGUCAUGUUAGAGUACUCAUACCAUUUUGUGAUAUCUGCCUCCCUCAAAUUUGUUGUAACAUCAGAAUAUUAUGCCUCUGGCA